This 2919-nucleotide long non-coding RNA is filed under the name Solanum lycopersicum (tomato). RNAcentral's name for it is "long non-coding RNA (SLYC_LNC000512)". The record is from RNAcentral. Lineage: Eukaryota; Viridiplantae; Streptophyta; Magnoliopsida; Solanales; Solanaceae.
UAGUCUAACAUAGAAAAGCACAUAAAAGCCAAUGUAGGAGUGAUGUCCUCGGAUGCUAUGAGGACUUCACUUCUUGAUAAGCCUUGGAAACUCUAACCUUGAAAGCAACUCAAUCUUUUUUAAGACCCUACAUUAGAUUAGAAUGUAGGCAACAUAUGUGUUAGUACAAAAUGUACCAAGUAUGGAAACAAUCAUAUCAAAACAUAUGAUAUCUCAAAGGGUUAGUAAAUAGCAAACAUAAUCACAAGAGAUAAAGACAUAAGCAUAACAUGAAUAUCAUAAGCAUAAUAAAGCACAUGAUAAAGCAUAUAAGAGAUCAUACUUAGGUCAUUGUCCUACUUACUGAAAUGAACUGUUUCAUAAGCCACCUCCAAGUAUACUUGUACAAAGCUAAGGUAGCAUCCCAUACUACUACCAAAGCUAAAUACCUCUCUUUGGUCAUUCUAGAUCAUAACCCACUAUCAUAAUUAAUACCUAGAUUAAUCAUAACAUAUGAGAACUAUGCCCCUAGGCCACCUCAAAGCACACUCGUGCAAUGUAGUGAAACCUUCAAGACAUGCUUAGUAUAGGGUAUGUUGGGACUUGUCCCAUUGAUUAACAUACCCUUAGUAUGGAUUCAUUUUGUUCUGUUGGUCAUGCUUAAUUUGACAUUCCAUUAUAUUGGGCACAUAAGAUUGGUGUAAAUUUAGUAUUGGCCCAGAAAAUUUGGAAAUGACUUCAUACUAAAUUUAUUGGCACAAGCCAAACAUUCAUUCAAAUAUAGUUUCACGAGAUUCUCAUUAGCCAAUUUUUCCAUCAUUAUUUAAAAUCAAUAAUGUAAUCCAAUUCCAUUCAACUUUUGAGGAAGACAUUGUUAGAGAUUUUACUAGCCUAACCCAAACGUUCAUUCAACUUAUGAUUUCAUGGAGAUCUGUUUAGCCAAACUUAUUAUCACGACCCAACCCGAUGGGUCGUAACUAGUGCCCGUUUUGGACACCCACAUACAAACCUGCUAAGUAUAAUCAACUAAAACUAAGACAAUAUGGAAUUUAAUCAAAUCAAGACAACCCCAACGUCAUAUAUAUAAAAAGAGGACCUGUCUCAUAAGGAGUCAUAACCAUUCAACCGUAACAACAUACGCGAGCCGACAAGGCCGCCACUAUCCAAAGUAUAAUAACAUACGUAAGCCAACAAAGCUGCCACUACACAAUAAAAAAUGAUGUACGCAGACGACAAGGCUGCACCUGCCAAGCGGACAUCCCAAAAAAACCAUGUCGAGACCAUUAUCCAUAACAUAUAUAUACAACGCACAUAAUGUCCACAGACCUCUAAGAGUACAGUAGUGAAACUCGAUGGGACAGGGCCCCGCCAUACCCAUAGACGAGCAAAAGACUACACAAAAAGUUAUGUACCAAAACGACUGGCUCCGGAACAGUGGAGCUCUCCAAUCACCAGAGUAUAUAUCCGAGGCGGGAGAAUCACCGAACUGUGUGUCUACACCUGCGGGCAUGAAACGCAGCCCCCCGAGGAAAGGGGGUCAGUACGGACAAUGUACUGAGUAUGUAAAGCAUAAGGUAAAGAUGAAAGGAUACCACUAUGGCAAGUCGAAACAAAAUAUCGCUACACAUGUACCCUUUUAAGUAAAAAUCAUGCAUAUUUUUAACAUAUAAGGUGCCCAGCUUCCCUACUAAGGGGCUCGGCAAAAUCAUCAUCACGUCAUCUCCGUCAUCAUAAUUAUCAUAACCAUCCUCAUCACCAAUCAUAUAUAUAAUAUACAUACCCGGCCCUCUAGUGAGGGACUCGGUGACAUAUGCAAGAAACUCCGCACGAACAUUACCCGGCUGUGGACUCGGUGAAAUGAUAAAUGACUCUAUGCACGAGAAGAAUAUUAUGAGUAACCAUAUGUAAUCAAAAUCAUUUCUUAUAACUCAAUAGAACAAUCAACGUGAACCAGCAAGGAGUAUUACCAAAGAUUAACGUUUUAUCAAGAUUAUGAACCUUUAAUACGAUAUGGAAAUGUAAAAUUUUAAUGACUCUAAGAAGUACUACCAUAGAUAUGAGAAAUCAUCAUAGCCUUAGACAUAGCCGAUAUAUAGAGGAAUAAUUGUGGAAGCAAGAAUAUACGUCACCUAGACGCUCUAGAGGUAAGUAUCAAACCUGUUCGUUAUUCGCUUAUUUUUAAAAGUCAUUCCAAACAAAGAAAGAAGGGACAGCGUUACAUAUCGUAUAGUCGAGCCGCACGUCCAAUAUUUACUGGUCAAGCUAUUAUCUAUAACAAUCAACAAUCGUGCCGCAAUAAGAUAAAUGUCGCGCUUUACUAUCUUGUAAGCUAGCUAAUAAUCUAACGAAAAUCCGGCAGCACUUCCCCUAUUUUCCUUACUUCGUCCCAAUCCGACAACAACCCAAAUUAUCCACAGCAAUACACAUAACACAUACAACCCAACGAAUCAUAUUAAACAGCCCCCUCCCCAAAACACUUCUAUCUCGGCCACCAUAGCAGUGAAGCCACACCGAGCGAUAACUCGUUUUAUAAUUUACAACACAUCUACCUUAUCGUAUUCAUCCUUUGGAGUAUAUACUCAUAAUUACAUUUAACAUAUACAUAACACCAAAAAAGAAUUUUCCCAUAGUUUGCUUUAAUCAAAAUAGCCCAAGCACCAACACGACACCACUAAUAAUCCGAUUAUUGUUUCCGAUCAUACUUAGAACAUUCAAUAACUAAAAAAGACAUCCUAAGCUACUGGUAACGCCCCCUUCUUAAUAUUAAUUGAUAAUUAACAAGGUAUUCUAGAGAAUUAACACACCAAGCAAGGAGAUUACUAACCAAAUAAUAUGCAGCUGCUGGCGAAGAGUUGCAGGGUUGGUUUCUCCAUUUCCAUGGCUGCCUAAGCCAAGUGGUGAAGAAGAUGAUAUGCAGCAAUGUAUUUCACCACUUUAUUU